RNAcentral lists this ribosomal RNA (174 nucleotides) under Triticum aestivum (bread wheat). Its description in RNAcentral is "partial small subunit ribosomal RNA". The record is from RNAcentral. Lineage: Eukaryota; Viridiplantae; Streptophyta; Magnoliopsida; Poales; Poaceae.
AUGGCAUCUCUCAUCAUGCUUGUCUCUUGGGCAAUUUGGAACGAAAGGAAUGCCAGGGUCUUUCAACAUAAAAGUGCACCGCCCUCAAUCGCCCUCGACAUCAUCCUCAAGGAAGCGAAACUAUGGGUCGCCGCGGGUGCAAAGAAACUAGGGGAAAUCAUAAUACGCGAGUAA